AUGGGCAUUGCCUGCUUCUCCAUCGUGGCCACGCACCCACAUGAGUGUCUCAACCAUCUCAUCCUGGUCUACUCGCUGCUGCUCAUCCUGCAGCACAUCACCCAGAACCUCAUCAUCAUCGAGGCCAGAGCGGAGCGAUGGGCAUCUCUCAUCUCUAGGGACAACUAGCACAAGUGUGGCAAGCCUGGGGGCAAGAGAAAGCCCUACCACAAGAAACAGAAGUAUGAGUUGGGGCACCUGGCUGCCAACACCAAGACUGGCCCCCGCCACAUCCACACAGUCUGUGUGUGGUGUGGUAACAAGAAAUACUGUGCCCUGAGACUGGACGUGGGGAAUUUCUCCUGGGGCUCAGACUGUUGUACUCGGAAAACAAGAAUUAUUGAUGUUGUCUAUAAUGCGUCUAAUAACGAGCCGGUCGGUACCAAAACCUUGGUGAAGAAUUGCAUCGUGCUCAUCGACAGCACACCGUACCAACAGUGGUACAAGUCCCACUAUGCACUGCCCCUGGGCAGCAAGAAGGGAGCCAAGCUGACUCCUGAGGAAGAAGAGAUUUUAAACAAAAAAUGAUCUAAAAAUUUCAGAAGAAAUACGACAAAAGGAAAAAGAAUGCCAAAAUCAGUCUCCUGGAGGAGCAGUUCCAGCAGGAAAAGCGUCUUGCGAGCAUCGCUUCAAGGCGGGGACAUUGUGGCUGAGCAGAUGGCUAUGUGCUAGAGGGCAAAGAGUUGGAGUUCUAUCUUAGGAAAAUCAAGGUUCGGAAAGGCAAAAAAAUCCUUGUUUUCUGUCUUCACCCAUGUAAUAAAGGUGUUUAUUGUUCUGUUCACCAAAAAAAAAAAAAAAACGCUUUUUUGUUUGUUUGUUUUUUUGUUUUAGUUCAAUCUGGUUUCACUGAAAACUUGCAUGGAGACUAUAGGUGUUCCAACGGUGCCUCUCUUUUGGUAAAUCUGAACAUUUCGACAGACAUUCAAGCAGCUUUUUCGGUAAAAAGAUUUUUACAUGACUACCAUUGCUGUUCCUAUGAUCAUCUGCAGGCUUGUUUUGGCAGCCAUGUCCCCUCCAACCGCCACAUCCUCCUCCUCCUGGCAACCCGGACCCUGAGCACUCAUCUCCUACCGCCGCUGGCCCAGCCAGCCUCUGUCCCCUGGGCGCAACUCUGUAAUGAGUGA
This is an RNA transcript of Cebus imitator (Panamanian white-faced capuchin), 1163 nucleotides long. It is a transcript of the gene named 40S ribosomal protein S8-like, with no coding region annotated. Lineage: Eukaryota; Metazoa; Chordata; Mammalia; Primates; Cebidae. The record is from RefSeq and is a predicted model, not a curated record. The transcript is spliced from 3 exons.